GGAAGUAAAAGUCGUAAUAAGGUCUCCGUAGGUGAACCUGCGGUGGGAUCAUUACAGAGUUCAUGCCCUACCGGGUAGAUCUCCCACCCUAUGUUAUUAUUACUUUGUUGCUUUGGCGGGCCGCUAGGCUCCGGCCCGACUACCGGCCCCGGCUGGUAAGCGCCCGCCAGAGGACCCAAAACCCUGAAUAUUAGUGUCGUCUGAGUACUAUAUAAUAGUUAAAACUUUCAACAACGGAUCUCUUGGUUCUG
RNAcentral lists this unclassified non-coding RNA (251 nucleotides) under plant metagenome. Its description in RNAcentral is "partial contains small subunit ribosomal RNA, internal transcribed spacer 1, and 5.8S ribosomal RNA". The stretch from base 1 to 54 matches the Rfam family "Eukaryotic small subunit ribosomal RNA", at positions 1778 to 1831 of the family's 1831-position model. The record is from RNAcentral.